GGAAUAUUGGUCAAUGGACGCAAGUCUGAACCAGCCAUGCCGCGUGGAGGAUGAAGGUCCUCUGGAUUGUAAACUUCUUUUAUCUGGGAAGAAACCUACUUUUUCUAGAGUAGUUGACGGUACCAGAUGACUAAGCAACGGCUAACUCCGUGCACGCAGCCGCGGUCAUACGGAGGGUGCAAGCGUUAUCCGGAUUCACUGGGUUUAAAGGGUGCGUAGGUGGGCAGUUAAGUCAGUGGUGAAAUCUCCGGGCUUAACCCGGAAACUGCCAUUGAUACUAUCUGUCUUGAAUGCCGUGGAGGUAAGCGGUAUAUGUCAUGUAGCGGUGAAAUGCUUAGAUAUGACAUAGAACACCAAUUGCGAAGGCAGCUUACUACACGAAUAUUGACACUGAGGCACGAAAGCGUGGGGAUCAAA
RNAcentral lists this ribosomal RNA (417 nucleotides) under uncultured bacterium. Its description in RNAcentral is "bacterial SSU rRNA". It matches the Rfam family "Bacterial small subunit ribosomal RNA", at positions 358 to 772 of the family's 1533-position model. The record is from RNAcentral.